This 496-nucleotide ribosomal RNA is filed under the name uncultured bacterium. RNAcentral's name for it is "partial 16S ribosomal RNA". It matches the Rfam family "Bacterial small subunit ribosomal RNA", at positions 28 to 506 of the family's 1533-position model. The record is from RNAcentral.
GAUGAACGCUGGCGGCGUGCCUAAUACAUGCAAGUCGAGCGAACAGAUGAGGAGCUUGCUCCUCUGACGUUAGCGGCGGACGGGUGAGUAACACGUGGAUAACCUACCUAUAAGACUGGGAUAACUUCGGGAAACCGGAGCUAAUACCGGAUAAUAUAUUGAACCGCAUGGUUCAAUAGUGAAAGACGGUUUUGCUGUCACUUAUAGAUGGAUCCGCGCCGCAUUAGCUAGUUGGUAAGGUAACGGCUUACCAAGGCAACGAUGCGUAGCCGACCUGAGAGGGUGAUCGGCCACACUGGAACUGAGACACGGUCCAGACUCCUACGGGAGGCAGCAGUAGGGAAUCUUCCGCGAUGGGCGAAAGCCUGACGGAGCAACGCCGCGUGAGUGAUGAAGGUCUUCGGAUCGUAAAACUCUGUUAUUAGGGAAGAACAAAUGUGUAAGUAACUAUGCACGUCUUGACGGUACCUAAUCAGAAAGCCACGGCUAACUACGU